RNAcentral lists this unclassified non-coding RNA (210 nucleotides) under plant metagenome. Its description in RNAcentral is "partial contains small subunit ribosomal RNA, internal transcribed spacer 1, and 5.8S ribosomal RNA". The record is from RNAcentral.
UUUCCGUAGGUGAACCUGCGGAAGGAUCAUUCAUAAUAAAGUGUUUUAUGGCACUUUUUAAAAAUCCAUAUCACCUUGUGUGCAAUGUUAGAUCUCGUCAAUCUUGGCGAGAUUUUUAUACAUCAACUCAUUCUUUAACUAAUUUGUCUGAAAAAUAUUAUGAAUACUUAAUUCAAAAUACAACUUUCAACAACGGAUCUCUUGGCUCUC